CUGAUUUUUAUAGUUCGUUCUUAUGUUGUACUGUUAUACCACUGUCCCAGGUUAGGGGGAGGGUUGGGAUCCCGCUAACAUGUUAAACCCCGCCACAUUAUUUAUGUAUGUGCCUGUCCCAAGUCAGGAGCCUGUAAUUCAGUGGUUGUCGUUUGUUUAUGUGUUACAUAUUUGUUUUUCGUUAAUUUUCUUUACAUAAAUAAGGCCGUUAGUUUUCUCGUUUGAAUUGUUUUACAUUGUCUUAUCGGGGCCUUUUAUAGCUGACUAUGCGGUAUUGGCUUUGCUCAUUGUUGAAGGCCGUACGGUGACGUAUAGUUGUUAAUGUCUGUGUCAUUUUGGUCUUUUGUGGAUAGUUGUCUCAUUGGCAAUCAUACCACAUCUUCUUUUUAUAUUAA
This 395-nucleotide long non-coding RNA is filed under the name Mytilus galloprovincialis (Mediterranean mussel). The record is from RNAcentral. Lineage: Eukaryota; Metazoa; Mollusca; Bivalvia; Mytilida; Mytilidae.